This 3199-nucleotide long non-coding RNA is filed under the name Nicotiana benthamiana. Its description in RNAcentral is "long non-coding RNA (NBEN_LNC010164)". Lineage: Eukaryota; Viridiplantae; Streptophyta; Magnoliopsida; Solanales; Solanaceae. The record is from RNAcentral.
GGGAAGUCAAAAAAUAUACUUUACUUAUUAUCAAAAAAAUUAUAUUUUGCUUUAAAUAUUGGUAAGACGCACCACCACUUAUAUUUUUUUGAAAUUAUUUUUGCCACACCAGCUUUUAGGGUGGAACUAAAUUCAGUAUGAACAAGUAUAGGAUGGAAAAACGAUACCUAUAAAGGUUGGGAUGGAAACUCACUUUUCGGUACAAGUUCAGGGAGAAACUUAUGCAUUUUCCCUAAAUAUAAUAACUAGGGUUAUUAUGAGACAUUUUGUCUGAAAAAAUGCUACACUUAGAGUAUUGAAUACAUCAUUACUUUGGAAGCUUUUGAAGAGCUUGUCUUAAAAAAAUGCUACACUUAGAGUACUGAAUACAUCAUUACUUUGGAAGCUUUUGAAGAGAGAAUCUUGUCAUUUUUUUAAGCUUUAUGACUUUAUUUAUUGUUUUAUUCUUGGAUUCUAGUAUGAGUAGAUAGUUUUAUAACCGUUUUUUAAAUAAUAGCCGAAUAUAUAUUAUGUAUACAAAAUUAUAUAAAUUUUAUAUAUUUUUUCUGCUGUAAAAUAUAAAUAGUUUGUAGCACGAAGUAAAAGUGAUAAUAUCCCAUAAUUAUUCGAUUUAUAUACUUUAUAUCAACUAGUAUCUAUGAACGUGUGUUGCAUGUUAAUAAUGGCAUAUGAUGAUUUAAAUAUUUAUUUAUAUGAAAGAACAUUAAAUUUUAAUUAAAGGAAAAUUAUAUAUAUAUAUANNNNNNNNNNNNNNNNNNNNNNNNNNNNNNNNNNNNNNNNNNNNNNNNNNNNNNNNNNNNNNNNNNNNNNNNNNNNNNNNNNNNNNNNNNNNNNNNNNNNNNNNNNNNNNNNNNUAUAUAUAUAUAUAUAUAUAUAUAUAUAUAUAUAUAAUACUACAAUAAUCGUCUAAAUGCCAAAAUUGUAGUAUGAGUACAACCAUCCCCAUGUACUCAAUAAGUAAAUAACCUAACCUUAGGUUGAAAGUAGUGACGCACUGGGACAAGGUCAGACUCCAACUUCAAUAACCAGCCACCGUUCAUAACAAUAUAAUAAAAUGGUACAAGAAAAUAACUCAGAGAUAAUAUUCUCACAUCGUUCAAAGUUGCAGAAAAUAGGCAUGAUUUUCAAGUAUAAUAGUAAAUUCCUAAUCUUUCAGCGAAAACACCAAAAACAUAUAAUUUAAAAACUGUGAUUUUUCCCCAAAAGCCUUUCAACAAUAAAUAAGAUGUUUUAGUUUCUGAUAGCAUGAGCAAAGUACAUCUCUAUUCCUACAUGUCAAUAUACAGGUGACAUCAUAAAUGUUAUCAAAAUCGGGUAGCGUGAGGAAAUGCAUCUCUAUGCAUGUACCUUAAGUAUACAUGCCAAAUAUAAUGCACCUAAGUGAUGAAAUCAUGUAGUCACACUCUCAGAGUACUCAAUAUCUUUGUCUUGUAUUCUCACUCACCAUGUUCGAUACCCAGCAUACUCAGUAACUCAGUACUGUACAGGCCAGAUCCAGCCCAGGGCAGAUGAUAUAUUGUAGAAUUGCGACACUUUUGACACUAAUUACAUAUGUUGUAGCUCAUUUUUAAAGCAUUUUAAGUCAAUCCUUAUCUAGAUUUGGUGUUUUGCGGCAAACUAGACUUGAAGAACCAAAAACAAAAAAAAAUGACAAAAACCCAUAGAAGGUCAGAAAUACGGCAGGUUUGCGACCACAAAAGUGAUGUGCGGGCAAACCAACUGAAAAAUAAAGCAGAUUAACCCAGCUAUGAGAGUGUAUUUUGUGGACCAUUAUACGAUCACAUAAUGCUUGUGCGGACCGUAUAAUGACUGCACUAGUGCAAAUAGAUUUUCUGCAAGAAUGAUUAUGCAGUACCAAAUGCUAUCAUAAAAUUGAUGUGCAGACCACAUAAUAGAUGUGCGAUGAACAACUGGGCAACUGGACAUUCAAUUACGUGGUGCAAAUUGUAGUUAUACGUGCCGCGAAAUUGUUAUGCGAUUCAUUCUGCAUUCGCAGAUGUGAUCUGUAGGGUUAUUUUUAUUAUAUUUUGACCCCGACUUUUAGACCAUUAUAAAUAGAAGGGAUAAUACAUAAGAUGCUCCCGGAACUUGUACCGAAAAUUGAGUUUCCAUCCCAACCUUUACGAGUGUUGUAAUACUUCCCUAUACUUGUACAAAGUGAAUUUAAUACCACCUUAUGAAGCAUAAUACCACUUUCAUGGCCUGGGGUAUUCCACACGCGCAUGUCAUAUCAGUGCCACAUCAACGCCAUUCCAGAAAUGCAAUAAAUUAAUCUUUUUGACUAUUUUUCUAUUUUUCAUUAACAUAUUCUUCUUCUUCUUUUUUUCAUACCUACCACCAAAACCUUCAUUAUCAACGGGUUCAUAGCUUUGAUUUCAUUUGAAUGAAUUAAUUUGUUUAGUCCAAAGAGAAAAAAGGUCAAGAAAGAAAUGAAAUUUACUACACAAAAUUUGUGAUGCCAUAGGUUGGUGAUAAGGGGGUCGAGAUCUAGUUGGGAUUUGUUUGUUGAAUCACCGGAAAAAUAGCCGACAGAACUGAAGAAAGAAAUAGGAAAGUUUUCCAGAGGAAUCUAAAAGUUUGCCGGAGGAAGUUGAAAGUUGAAGAAAAAUAAAGGAAAACGAGCAAGAAUCUGCUCUUAAAAAGGAGUGUAGCGAAAAUGGAAAAGAAAGAAAUGGGGUUGAGAUGGAGAAGAAAGAGGGGGGUUUUUUUCGGGGGGGAAUGUGAGGAUGAAGCGAAAAAGGGAGAAGGGGAGGGGAAGUCAAAAAAUAUACUUUACUUAUUAUCAAAAAAAUUAUAUUUUGCUUUAAAUAUUGGUAAGACGCACCACCACUUAUAUUUUUUUGAAAUUAUUUUUGCCACACCAGCUUUUAGGGUGGAACUAAAUUCAGUAUGAACAAUCAAAAAAAUUAUUUUUUGCUUUAAAUUUUGGUAAGACGCACCACCACUUAAAUUUUUUUGAAAUUAUUUUUGCCACGCCAGCUUUUAGGGUGGAACUAAAUUCAGGAUGAACAAGUAUAGGAUGGAAAAACGAUACCUAUAAAGGUUGGGAUGGAAACUCACUUUUCGGUACAAGUUCAGGGAGAAACUUAUGCAUUUUCCCUAAAUAUAAUAACUAGGGUUAUUAUGAGACAUCUUGUCUUAAAAAAAUGCUACACUUAGAGUACUGAAUACAUCAUUACUUUGGAAGCUUUUGAAGAGA